RNAcentral lists this ribosomal RNA (447 nucleotides) under uncultured bacterium. RNAcentral's name for it is "partial 16S ribosomal RNA". It matches the Rfam family "Bacterial small subunit ribosomal RNA", at positions 29 to 507 of the family's 1533-position model. The record is from RNAcentral.
AACGAACGCUGGCGGCAUGCCUAACACAUGCAAGUCGAACGAUGCCUUCGGGCAUAGUGGCGCACGGGUGCGUAACGCGUGGGAAUCUGCCCUUGGCUUCGGAAUAACAGUUAGAAAUGACUGCUAAUACCGGAUGAUUUCCCCCUGAGAGAUCUUGGGGACCAAAGAUUUAUCGGCCAGGGAUGAGCCCGCGUAGGAUUAGGUAGGUGGUGGGGUAAAGGCCUACCAAGCCGACGAUCCUUAGCUGGUCUGAGAGGAUGAUCAGCCACACUGGGACUGAGACACGGCCCAGACUCCUACGGGAGGCAGCAGUGGGGAAUAUUGGACAAUGGGGGGAACCAUGAUCCAGCAAUGCCGCGUGAGUGAUGAAGGCCUUAGGGUUGUAAAGCUCUUUUACCAGGGAUGAUAAUGACAGUACCUGGAGAAUAAGCUCCGGCUAACUCCGUG